Cygnus olor (mute swan) is the source of this 2263-nucleotide long non-coding RNA. RefSeq lists it as uncharacterized. The transcript is spliced from 4 exons. The record is from RefSeq and is a predicted model, not a curated record. Lineage: Eukaryota; Metazoa; Chordata; Aves; Anseriformes; Anatidae.
UUCAGGCAGAGGUCGGAUCCUUGUUUCCUCCCCAUGAGGAUCAAAGUCUGCUGAGACUGAGCAAUGCUUGGAGUGAAUAUCAGAGCCUCGGCUUAUGGUGAUAGAAACUGGGGAGGUUAUGCAGCUCACCUCCAUGCAAUGUUAUUGAUUUCCAGAGUCCAAAUUGAGAGUGUGUGAAAGCCUGAAGACGGAUCGGUAAAGAAGGUAAUGUGGGCUCAGGUUCUCUCCAACAAAGAGGAAAUUUGAAAAUGUUUUUCCUUGAUGUCAGGUAAAAGAACCACAGGCUACUGAGUGGAAGUUAUUUCCCUGGGGACGAAGAUAGUGAAGGAAUGCAAGGCUCAUCAUUUCUCUUCUUUCCAGAGAGACCACAUGAGAAUGAGAUGAGCAGAUGACCAUCCCUACACAUAGGGGUGAGCUAAAAACCACCAUUACCUCUAUCACAGAAUUACAGUCACAGAGUCACAGAAUCACAGAAUGGUUGAGAUUGGAAGAGAUCUCUGGAGGUCAACACCCCUUUUUAAGCAAGACCACCUACAGAAGGUGCCCAGGACCAUGUCCAGAAGGCUUUUGAAGAUCUCCAAGGAGACUUCACAACCUCUCUGGGCAACACGUGCCAGUACUUCGUCACCUGCAUAAUAAAGAAGUGCUUCCUGAUGUUGAGACAGAACCUCCAGUGUUUCAGUUAGUGCCCAUUGCCUCUGGUCCUGGCAUCAGGCACCACUGAAAAGAAAAGAAUCUGGCUCCAUCUUCUUUGCACCUUCUCUUCAGAUAUUUGUACACAUCGAUGAGAUCUCCGCAAGACGCCUCUUUUCCAGGUUAAGAGCACUACUGCUUCUUAGGCAACUAAAAGAGUACAACAAACAACCCAGUCUUUGUGAAACCAGAAGAGCAGGUAAAAUAUUUUAAUUUUUGAAACAAAUAUAUAUGGUUUAUAAAGAAACACUGAGUGGUGACCCUUGUACUGAAGUUAGUCUUUUAUUUCCCACACCUAUGUUAUAGGAAACACUUCAGAAAUGGAAGGACAAGCAUUUCAAAGUUUGAGUUCUGUUUAAGAAGUGGUUUUGUGGACUGGGGGUGGCCUUUCUUAUUUUCAUUUUCUUCCUCUAUUGGAGAGUUAUUCAUUGUUCUCAUCUGUGAAGUCAAUUAGAAGAAUUGCUAGACAGAGGUGUUAGAAAGAUUCAUGGAAUCUCUCUCUACUACUAAGCAGGUUAAAAGCAAAUCCAGAUAAAACAUUUAAUGCUCAUUUUGGCUGAGGUUAUUUUUGAUCAGAUCUGUGUCUCUAGGACAAAAAAUGAAGUUAUAAUUUAAUAGACUUUGUCGGGAAAAAAAGACUGUUUUGGUCAAGUAUUCUGAUUUCCUACAUAGGAAUUUUACAGUGUUACCCAGCAGCUCCUACAUCAGCUUGGUUUUUCUUUCUUGGUUGGUCCAGAGCAUUUAUUUAAAAAUCAUAAUUUUAAGAUGAUGGAGAAUUAGGCUGCUGAAGUUAUAUUAGCAUCUAUACCAGAUGAAAUGUGCAGUUAAAAUAAAGAUCCCCACGCUGAAAUGGUCUGUAAAACCAGAAUGCAUUACCUACACAUAUAAUGAACUGAGCUCAUAGUCCAAGUCAUCCAACUGAAAUUACUGGGAUCACUCAUGAGGCAAAAUAGGACGAUUCAGAAGGAAUAAAAACAUCAGUGUCUAGCCCAGUGUGAAUCAUAAACUUGUUUAUAUUCAUACUUGUCUAUGCUCUCUUGUUGUAAAUACAACUUAUUAAAAGUCUCAGAGAAAAUAAAAUACAAGCAAUGGUAGAAUGAACAAACCUCUUAUUGCAAGCUCUAGCAUCAGUAUGUUUAUACUGUUACAUAGCAUUGGAGAAACUAAAAUAUGUUCAGAAAUGUUUCAAGAAAACUGUUCUUGACAAAGCAGAUUUCUAAGAGAAAGAAAAGCUUCAUAUGUAAAAAUAUUCCUUUUGUUAUUUUCCUAAGAAAAAGAUGUAUUUUACUAUGAGAUAUUUGCUUUAAGUGUAAACUAAUUACAAUAAACAAGCUAAAUUAAAUUGUUUGAAGCUACUGUAAAAUCACGGAUUAUUUUUCUUUUGUAUUCCUCCCUGUUGUUGUGAAGCAAGUAUGUUCACUUGUAUGAUAGAGUUGUUAUGUUCACCUUUGAAGCAGAGAAUUUAAAAAGUCUUAAAUUUUAGAGGCUGAUCAUGUGGGAUUUAGUCAUAUAAUCCCUCAUCUUUCAAAAGUAGAAUUGUUUCUUCUGUUAUCAGAGAACCUAUAUUCAU